RNAcentral lists this ribosomal RNA (207 nucleotides) under uncultured bacterium. Its description in RNAcentral is "partial 16S ribosomal RNA". It matches the Rfam family "Bacterial small subunit ribosomal RNA", at positions 568 to 774 of the family's 1533-position model. The record is from RNAcentral.
CGUGUAGGCGGCCAGGUAGGUCCGCUGUGAAAACCCGAGGCUCAACCUCGGGACGUCGGCGGAAACCAUCUGGCUAGAGUCCGGAAGAGGAGAGUGGAAUUCCCGGUGUAGCGGUGAAAUGCGCAGAUAUCGGGAAGAACACCCGUGGCGAAGGCGGCUCUCUGGGACGGUACUGACGCUGAGACGCGAAAGCGUGGGGAGCGAACA